CCUACGGGAGGCAGCAGUGAGGAAUAUUGGUCAAUGGUCGGGAGCCUGAACCAGCCAAGCCGCGUGAGGGAUGAAGGUCCAGCGUAUCGUAAACCUCUUUUGUCAGGGAACAAAGUCGGGCACGUGUCCCCUGCUGAGUGUACCUUAUGAAUAAGCAUCGGCUAACUCCGUGCCAGCAGCCGCGGUAAUACGGAGGAUGCGAGCGUUAUCCGGAUUUAUUGGGUUUAAAGGGUGCGCAGGCGGUCUGUUAAGUCAGCGGUAAAAGCCCGGGGCUCAACCCCGGCCCGCCGUUGAAACUGGCAGUCUUGAGUGGGAGAGAAGUAUGCGGAAUGCGUGGUGUAGCGGUGAAAUGCAUAGAUAUCGCGCAGAACUCCGAUUGCGAAGGCAGCAUGCCGGAGCAAGACUGACGCUGAGGCACGAAAGCGUGGGUAUCGAACAGGAUUAGAUACCCGAGUAGUC
This 459-nucleotide ribosomal RNA is filed under the name uncultured bacterium. Its description in RNAcentral is "partial 16S ribosomal RNA". It matches the Rfam family "Bacterial small subunit ribosomal RNA", at positions 338 to 795 of the family's 1533-position model. The record is from RNAcentral.